This is a long non-coding RNA of Motacilla alba alba, 2385 nucleotides long. RefSeq lists it as uncharacterized. The transcript has 2 exons. The record is from RefSeq and is a predicted model, not a curated record. NCBI's taxonomy places the organism in Eukaryota, Metazoa, Chordata, Aves, Passeriformes, Motacillidae.
UAUAGGCAAACAAAUGAAGAAAAAAAGACAAAAAACCCCAUGACUAUCUAGUAUUGUCUCAAUUUAAAAAAAACAUGAGUGACUACAAGAGCUAGGUAUUUCUACAGCCAGCCACAUUCCUAGUAUCCCUGUGCACAGUCUGUGUAAUUUGUAGUAUGUUUUAUCUAUCCUUCAGUAAGUCCAUCUGUAUGUAUGCUAUAGUUACCACAGGAGAGUUAAAAAUACAUCCUAGGUGUAGCAAUACAUAAGGCAGAUCCUCACCAGUAAACUAGGAAAUGAGUAAUUCCCCACUCUCCUGAACAAUUCUUCACAAUGACAACUCCCUCCUUCCCACACACCUACACUCUCACACGCCUGGAGAAGCCGGGGGCGGGGGAAAGCUGAGCUUUGCAAUGUUGUCUGGAAGCUCAUCAGAUCCAGGCCACUUCCAAUUAAAGGAGGGAGCAAGUUCAAAGCCUCUGCUGAUCUCUGCUCUGAACUGGCAUUAUGCUCAGAGACAUCUGUGCCUGCUGCUGAGACACAAGUCUGCUGAGCCAGAGAAGAAUGUGUACGAGCAUACGAGCAUGUCCCCCGUCAGGAAAUAAAAACAGGAUAGCAGGGAAACCCCAAACCUACUCAGGUGGCUGACAGUACUGGAACACUGACUUGAAUUAACAGGAGAAAAUGACAACCAAAUCCAAGUGAACUACAGUGGCUUCUGAGCACUGGCAGAAGAUGCUGAGGGGAAGCGAAGACCAAAGCGAGGAGAUGCGCAGAGGGAAGGUAAUCCUGGCACUGUUGACAUCAUCAUGCUGUGUGGAUCUGAAAGGUUCCAAGCUGCAGGCUACUUUGCAGCAUUGGCUUUUCCUACCUCCCUAAAUGCAUGCACUUUAAAAGUCUCUGGUUUUCAAAUCCUAGAUAUUGUACUGGGAAAUUAAGAAACAGCCUUCCAGAACAGUAAGGUAUUUCAGCAACUAUCAGAAAGACAAGCUUGACGAUAAGCUGUAUAAUCUGUCACAUCAUUUCCCUUCUACCAACUGUUAGAGGAUUCUGAAUUGAGAUAAAAAUAGCCCAAUUGCUGCCAUUAGCUUGGGCCUGGAUUUUUCGCAGCAUCCAUGAAAUCUUCAGAGUCAGUUCACCGACUAGAAAUGGAGCUACGAACACACACCUUGUAUUCACCGUGACAAAUACAGUGACAACAGCUGCGGCAGAUCCCAUCUCUAAGAUUUAUCUGGUCCUUGAAUAUCAUUAAAGAAGGGAAGACGAGUGUGGAGAAAACAGAUACUUGCAUGCUUGUGAUGCAAAACAACUUUCAGCAGAGGUAGGUUCCUACUGCCCUCUGCUGUAACUUCCUUUUAGAACUCCUAAGGAGGAAGCACGAAGCACACCCACCUGACGUGCAACACUGGGUGUUACACCCAGAUUGUAUUAAAACCGUGGAGAGUGGAACAAGGCAGUUAAAAACAAUAGGCUUUGGUUUCUUGCCGCUGCUUUUAAUUCUUGAAGUGGAUAUAUACCUCCCAGAUGUUGACCCAGGCUCCACCAAAUUACCGACAUUCUUACUCAAGUGACUAUUGCUGAAGGACACUGAAUUCUUGGGACAAACUAAUUGUAAGUAUAAGAGGUCAUCUUUUUGUCAGAUAAAGUCUUGCUUUGUGGAAAAUAGUGAAAGUAGCAUGAUAUAAAUUCUAUCACUAUCUUUGUUAUAGAUUACACAACUCAACUGAGAAUUUCUUUUAGCUAGUAAAAGAAACAUCUAGAUGUUAUUUUCCUAAAUAACUGCAGUUCACAUUUAAGUGAGUACAGGCCUAUCUCUAACUUUGAAGGAAAGGCCACUUUGUCUGCUCUUUUGGCCAGCAGCAUCACACAUUUCAAAGAUGUACUUGUUUCUUGGGGUUGUUCACACUGAGUUGUACUGUUUAUAAAACAGUAUUACCAAGUAUCACCACCUCCAGCUGAAUAGCCAUAUGAUAGGUAGCCUGGAUACCAGGAAAACACUUGCUAAAGCAGCACAGAGCAUGUUAACAUACUCACCAGAGUAUGUUAACCUUUACUGCAAUUCAACUGCUUCUUUUAGCUUUGCUUUUAAUGAGCUUGGGUGUCUGGGGGGAUCAGGUUGGCCACCUAACCAAAGAAGUUGGGGGAUACUUGAAAAUGUAUAUACAUACACAUACACAGCUACUUACAAGAAAGGAUAGCAGCAGAAGCCACAAAAUAAUAAACAUGAAGCAGAAGCAACUAAAAUAAAGGCAGAUUUUCAGUCUGAAAAAAGUGGAUACCUAAAGACCAUUAUAAGUGGGUAUGAAACUAUACAACUAGCUUAUUUCCCACCAGGCCUACAAUGCUUAGUACUCCCAGAAUGGAAAUACUAAAGCUAGAUGAAGUCAUAUGUGGACCAUUUUCUUG